AGAAGUGUAGCUCAGUGGUAGAGCACUUGCUUGCCAUGCAUAAGGCCCUAGGUUUAAUCCCCAGCACCACCC
Molecule: transfer RNA, 72 nt
Filed under: Fukomys damarensis (Damara mole-rat)
Lineage: Eukaryota; Metazoa; Chordata; Mammalia; Rodentia; Bathyergidae
Rfam family: tRNA
About the family: Transfer RNA (tRNA) molecules are approximately 80 nucleotides in length. Their secondary structure includes four short double-helical elements and three loops (D, anti-codon, and T loops). Further hydrogen bonds mediate the characteristic L-shaped molecular structure. tRNAs have two regions of fundamental functional importance: the anti-codon, which is responsible for specific mRNA codon recognition, and the 3' end, to which the tRNAs corresponding amino acid is attached (by aminoacyl-tRNA synthetases). tRNAs cope with the degeneracy of the genetic code in two manners: having more than one tRNA (with a specific anti-codon) for a particular amino acid; and 'wobble' base-pairing, i.e. permitting non-standard base-pairing at the 3rd anti-codon position.
Source: Rfam by way of RNAcentral